Long non-coding RNA from Anopheles moucheti, 1550 nucleotides. RefSeq lists it as uncharacterized. The record is from RefSeq and is a predicted model, not a curated record. The transcript is spliced from 3 exons. NCBI's taxonomy places the organism in Eukaryota, Metazoa, Arthropoda, Insecta, Diptera, Culicidae.
CUGAUCUCAUUAGUCUGAUUGUUAAGCUUUCCCAUGCACUAGUCUGAUUCUUAUCUCCCAUCCAUUCGGUGAUGCCGGCAGUCCAUAUUUCGUGGGUGUGAAAUCGGAAGUGAUCAAACGAGUAAUUCGUGUGAGUGCUGAUGCAUUAUCAGUCGAGACGUACGUGAACCUCGAACCCACUCAAACAAUAGCCGUUCUGUCGCAGCUGGCCGCAAAAUUCUACCACCGGGUUGCUCCAGUCCGUACCGGAUGAUGAUCCACCGCUGAUCCAGUUCCGUGCCCUGCAGUACGCAUUAUUUAAGCACCUGCUUCGUGGAGAUCCUUGGGGGUGUGUUUUUCCUGAUUACAGUGAUGUACAUCGAUCGGGAUAGGGCACUGGUAGAGGCUGUUGUACUAGAAGUAACGUUACAAAUCGAAGACUGUUCGAAGGUGGUUGCGGUUGAAGAGAAGUCCUAUUCAAACACUUUGUACGUCAAAUUUCAACGUUCAACGUUCAACUUUCAACAUUCAGACAGAUAUUACAGCGCCAACUAGAUCAUUUCCACUCUCCGUACUUCAUGUUCAACUUUCAAUAUUCAGACAGAUAUUACAGUGCCGACUAGAUCAUUUCCACUCUCCGUACUUCAUAUUGCAACGGCGUGUUUAGUGUUUAGCGUGAAUGUGCAACGGGUUAGGUCUUACAGUAUUAUAAUGAAAAUAAAAUAGUGAACGCGCAGAAGAACAUAAAUCGCCAGUGCGCUAUUCGGUGGGAGUUUCUAGGUGGGACGGGUUAUACGAAAGCAAUAGUCUGUGAAAACGAAUGUCGGGGGCCAUUUAUUGCUGGAAAAAUUUUCUAACGAUGCGAUGUUUUAGAAUAAGGGGUGACAUCCAUUUCGGCUGUUGGUGGUAAUUAUUCAAAUUAAAAAGUGUUCGAAAGGGUAAAGCAACACAAAGCAAACGUUUUAAGCGUUAAAUUUGACUGAAAAUCAGAAUAAUACGUACGUGUGAUAAAGGUGCUAAAAUGGCUCUAAAGCUUCACAAUGACACAAUUUGGAAAGGGGGAACAGCGCUUUGGAGUGGCAGUUAGUGAGGGUUUGCUACCCUGUAUGCGAACUCCACCUGUAACAAAAGGCUGCCCGUUAUGAUAUAUUUCCAUAUUGCUUAAUUCGUUUUUGCUAGCACUUUUCCCGGUGCUUGUGAGUUAAAAUUUAAUUAACCUUUUCUUCAUUUUUUUUUGUUGAAAUAGUAAAAUCGUGGUGAAUUUUAUGUUGAGGCAUUAGCAAGAAAAUAAGUUACAAUAUGUUAGAAUGUAUACAAAAUUAUAGAACACUCAAUCACUAAUAGGGCGGGUUUGGAUAAACCAUUUACAGGCGUGAACUAUCGUCAAUUAUUGGGAAACGGUAAUUUUUCUAGGGUACAGAGGAAAGGCAGAUAAACAUUGUAAAACAAAAAGAAGACAACAAACAAACAUUAUUUAUUAUUAGAUUCUCGUUAGCCGUUAAUGGAUUAUUGUGGUUUUAUUUAAAUUGUAAUUGUUAUUCACUGUUUUUAAAGUUGUCGCAACAAUGAAC